GACGUUUCUGACAGAAGAAGCACCGGCUAACUCCGUGCCAGCAGCCGCGGUAAUACGGAGGGUGCGAGCGUUAAUCGGAAUUACUGGGCGUAAAGCGUACGCAGGCGGUUUGUUAAGCGAGAUGUGAAAGCCCCGGGCUCAACCUGGGAACUGCAUUUCGAACUGGCAAACUAGAGUGUGAUAGAGGGUGGUAGAAUUUCAGGUGUAGCGGUGAAAUGCGUAGAGAUCUGAAGGAAUACCGAUGGCGAAGGCAGCCACCUGGGUCAACACUGACGCUCAUGUACGAAAGCGUGGGGAGCAAACGGGAUUAGAUACCCCGGUAGUCCACGCCGUAAACGAUGUCUACUAGAAGCUCGGAACCUCGGUUCUGUUUUUCAAAGCUAACGCAUUAAGUAGACCGCCUGGGGAGUACGGCCGCAAGGUUAAAACUC
RNAcentral lists this ribosomal RNA (431 nucleotides) under uncultured bacterium. RNAcentral's name for it is "bacterial SSU rRNA". It matches the Rfam family "Bacterial small subunit ribosomal RNA", at positions 471 to 902 of the family's 1533-position model. The record is from RNAcentral.